GAUGAACGCUGGCGGCGUGCCUAAUACAUGCAAGUCGAGCGAACAGAUAAGGAGCUUGCUCCUUUGACGUUAGCGGCGGACGGGUGAGUAACACGUGGGUAACCUAUCUAUAAGACUGGAAUAACUCCGGGAAACCGGGGCUAAUGCCGGAUAACAUGUUGAACCGCAUGGUUCUACAGUGAAAGGCGGCUUUGCUGUCACUUAUAGAUGGACCCGCGCCGUAUUAGCUAGUUGGUGAGGUAACGGCUCACCAAGGCAACGAUACGUAGCCGACCUGAGAGGGUGAUCGGCCACACUGGAACUGAGACACGGUCCAGACUCCUACGGGAGGCAGCAGUAGGGAAUCUUCCGCAAUGGGCGAAAGCCUGACGGAGCAACGCCGCGUGAGUGAUGAAGGUCUUCGGAGCGUAAAACUCUGUUAUUAGGGAAGAACAAAUGCGUAAGUAACUGUGCGCGUCUUGACGGUACCUAAUCAGAAAGCCACGGCUAACUACGUG
RNAcentral lists this ribosomal RNA (497 nucleotides) under uncultured bacterium. RNAcentral describes it as "partial 16S ribosomal RNA". It matches the Rfam family "Bacterial small subunit ribosomal RNA", at positions 28 to 507 of the family's 1533-position model. The record is from RNAcentral.